UUUCCGUAGGUGAACCUGCGGAAGGAUCAUUAUUGUAUAACCGAGGUGCGAGGGCUGUCGCUGACCCGACAGGUCGUGCACGCCCGAGGGCCCUCACACACAUCCAUCUCACCCCUAUGUGCACCACCGCGUGGGUCCCCCUUUGGCUUGUUCGGAGGGGGGCUUACGUUUUCACACAAACUUUGUAUGCAGUGUAGAAUGUAUUUUUUGUUUUUGCGAUCACGCAAUCAAUACAACUUUCAACAACGGAUCUCUUGGCUCUC
RNAcentral lists this unclassified non-coding RNA (263 nucleotides) under plant metagenome. RNAcentral's name for it is "partial contains small subunit ribosomal RNA, internal transcribed spacer 1, and 5.8S ribosomal RNA". The record is from RNAcentral.